Molecule: ribosomal RNA, 253 nt
Filed under: uncultured bacterium
Lineage: Bacteria
Description: partial 16S ribosomal RNA
Rfam family: Bacterial small subunit ribosomal RNA
Source: RNAcentral
UACGAAGGGGGCUAGCGUUGCUCGGAAUCACUGGGCUUAAAGGGCGCGUAGGCGGGCUAUCGAGUCCGGGGUGAAAUCCUCCAGCUCAACUGGAGAACGGCCUCGGAUACUGAUGGUCUCGAGGGAGGUAGGGGCACGCGGAACUGUGGGUGGAGCGGUGAAAUGCGUUGAUAUCCAUAGGAACUCCGGUGGCGAAGGCGGCGUGCUGGACCUCUUCUGACGCUGAGGCGCGAAAGCCAGGGGAGCAAACGGG